Molecule: long non-coding RNA, 222 nt
Filed under: Carica papaya (papaya)
Lineage: Eukaryota; Viridiplantae; Streptophyta; Magnoliopsida; Brassicales; Caricaceae
Description: long non-coding RNA (CPAP_LNC003573)
Source: RNAcentral
GGCAUUAGUCAAUCUGAAAGACAUAACCUUGGACUUGAACUGACCGUACUGCAUUAAAAAGCUGGAGUGAAUGAAUCUUUACCCGAGAAGCUUAGAGAGCUGGUACUCAACUUUAGCAAGUUCGGUGCAACUCAUGCGGUAAGCAGGCUUUGAGAUUGGUUAAGUUCCUAGAAGUAGAUCAAUGGAAAAUUUUAUCUUCCAUGGGGGAGGUAGACCAGGCAG